Non-coding RNA from Camelina sativa (false flax), 245 nucleotides. The record is from RefSeq and is a predicted model, not a curated record. Lineage: Eukaryota; Viridiplantae; Streptophyta; Magnoliopsida; Brassicales; Brassicaceae.
GGAAUUUUUCUUCAUACUGUUUAGAAUUUUAAUCCUAAUAGGGUUAAAUAGUUAUUACGUGUUAGUUUACUUUGUUACUAUUUCUUUUCCAGGAGCGUUGAGAUUACACAAGCCCUAAGGUUACAAAUGGAAGUUCAGAAACGUCUUCAUGAGCAGCUCGAGAUCCAACGGACGCUGCAGUUACAGAUUGAAAAACAGGGCCGAUACCUACAGAUGAUGUUUGAGAAACAACAAAAGAUACAAGA